AUCUACAGCCAUACCACCCUGAACAUGCCCGGUCUCGUCCGAUCUCAGAAGCUAAGCAGGAUCAGGCCUGGUUAAUACUUAAAUUGGGGGGAAGAAAGAGGGAAAGAGAGAGAGAGAGAGAGACUGAGACUGCAGGCC
Ribosomal RNA from Erinaceus europaeus (western European hedgehog), 138 nucleotides. Lineage: Eukaryota; Metazoa; Chordata; Mammalia; Eulipotyphla; Erinaceidae. The record is from Ensembl.